AUGCACGCUGGCGGCGUGCCUAAUCCAUGCAAGUCGCGCGCACAGACGAGGAGCUUGCUCCUCUGACGUUAGCGGCGGACGGGUGAGUAACACGUGGAUAACCUACCUAUAAGACUGGGAUAACUUCGGGAAACCGGAGCUAAUACCGGAUAAUAUAUUGAACCGCAUGGUUCAAUAGUGAAAGACGGUUUUGCUGUCACUUAUAGAUGGAUCCGCGCCGCAUUAGCUAGUUGGUAAGGUAACGGCUUACCAAGGCAACGAUGCGUAGCCGACCUGAGAGGGUGAUCGGCCACACUGGAACUGAGACACGGUCCAGACUCCUACGGGAGGCAGCAGUAGGGAAUCUUCCGCAAUGGGCGAAAGCCUGACGGAGCAACGCCGCGUGAGUGAUGAAGGUCUUCGGAUCGUAAAACUCUGUUAUUAGGGAAGAACAAAUGUGUAAGUAACUAUGCACGUCUUGACGGUACCUAAUCAGAAAGCCACGGCUAACUACGUG
RNAcentral lists this ribosomal RNA (496 nucleotides) under uncultured bacterium. Its description in RNAcentral is "partial 16S ribosomal RNA". It matches the Rfam family "Bacterial small subunit ribosomal RNA", at positions 29 to 507 of the family's 1533-position model. The record is from RNAcentral.